CUUUGGGAGCGCAAGGGAGGGGACGGGGCCCAGGCAAGCAGCCGGGUUUGCUCGUGUGCGGGGAGGUGGGACACAGCAGGGGCGGGGGAAAAGGGCUGUGCCCCCGGGGUAGGACCCUGUGCUAUAAAAAUGACUUCAACCGCAUCCAGCGGUAGGAAAGAGAGGCACCUUCCACCUCUGCUCCUGCCUCCAGCAGCGUUGUCCGGGGAGGAGGACCCUGAGCAGAGCCAGACCCUGAGGAUGAAGGUCCAGGUGCUGUCUGUCACUGCGCUCCUCCUGGUGCUGCUCUCUUCAGCCCCAGCACCAUCUGAGGCACUGGGGGGCCACACCAGCACCCUGAAGAGGCAGCUAGGAGCUGAGGGCCAUGGAGAAGACCCUCGGGCGCUUGGAGAUGGAGGGGACAACCUGCCCAGGCAGGGCUUGGUGGGGAGCCACCCCCUGGCUGGUGCAUGGGAGGUGAUGGGAGAGAUGUCUCCCAGCUCCGGGUCCCCCAGCAAGGCCUUGGCCAAGCCCUCACCGGGCAGCAGCGAGCCCCAACCCCUUGGCAAGCUCCGGAGACACCCACGGCAGCCCUCCCGCAGCAGGAGCCCGGGGCUGAGCCAUCACCUGAAGGGUCACGGGAGGUUCAACGGGGACACGCACUCCUGCCACAGCAUCCACUCCCGGCCCUGCCAGAAGCCCUCCGACUGCGGCGGCUGCCUGGGGCUCUACACCUGCAGGCUGCUGGCGGGUACCUGCCACCUGAAAGCCGUCUCCAGGCAGAGAGGUGGGUUCCUCCAAAGCAUCUAGAACCUGGAGAGGCGCAGGGUCCUGCUCAACCCGCAGCAACACGGCUCGACGUAAAGCUGGGGAGGCUGUCCUGCAGCUGGAGACCAGCACGCUCUGUCCGAGUUUCAUUUUAAAUACUUAAUGACACAGCUGUAAAUGUUUCUUUCACUGCACUUCUCAUGCUGCCGGCUUUUAAUACCCUCCCUGGAUUUUGUAGGCUUGAUUCCCGCUUUCCUGAGAGCUGCCAGCGAAAGCUCUGAGCAGCCUCAGAGCCAAGUGAUGGCAGAGCCCACUUGGAGACCCCUUGAUGAGACAAAUGGGGCUAUUUCACAACCCGUUUUGAUUUGAGCGAGCAGGAUGUUGCAGUAAGAGCUGCCAGCACCUCAGCACGCUCACACACGAGUGCACGCUGAGCUGAGGAGCCUGUCGGCAUGGGGCACCCCAGGGAACCCGCCCAGCUCCUCACCACGGCUCCCACCGAGGAGGGCCAAGUCCCACACUGCUGACAACAUCGCUUGAGAAGGGGAAUGCAGAGCCCUGGCUUGGUGGUGGGGGACCACGUGGGACACCUGCUGCUGGAGGCCUGAGCUGAGCCACAAGAUCAGGUUCAUUCGGCACCCCACAGAGCUCUGCAGGCAGCCCGGCUGCCUUCGCGUGUGUGGGUGCAUCCUGGCUUUGCACAACCCUGUUUUGCUACCAUUAAAACACUUCUUAAAAUGCAAACCAAAACACAGCUUUUGAUUCACCCUGAACUCCACCGCAGUUUCCUUUGGUGGGCCACCACCUCCUGUGACAGACGGGGCUUUAAGUGGUGCCAAUUUUGCUUGGGGUACCCAAGGGGCCCCCUGGUCACCCCUGCUGGGAGCCUGACCCUGGGGAGGUGGGGAUAAAUGCCACCGGCUUCUCUGCCCCCCAUCACUGCUUCAGCUGUCCCCACACACGAGUUGAGGAGUGUAGAGGUGCAGGUGCUGCCUUCCUGCUCAUGCCCAACGUGGCACUACUGCUGUCCUUCAUUUAUGGU
RNAcentral lists this long non-coding RNA (1789 nucleotides) under Calidris pugnax (ruff). Its description in RNAcentral is "lncRNA (ENSCPUG00000000407.1)". Lineage: Eukaryota; Metazoa; Chordata; Aves; Charadriiformes; Scolopacidae. The record is from RNAcentral.